This is a non-coding RNA of Xyrichtys novacula (pearly razorfish), 6793 nucleotides long. NCBI's taxonomy places the organism in Eukaryota, Metazoa, Chordata, Actinopteri, Labriformes, Labridae. The record is from the annotation of a GenBank genome assembly.
CAAAACUUGGACAUUAUGACACAUUCAGAUAUUAAUAGAUAACACACCUAGAAUCCCACAGAACAAAAUCAACUUACUGCUGCAGAAAAACCUCAAAUACAUAAAAAGAAGUUCAAGUUUUUCUCUUUUAUAAAGUCGAGAAUCAUCCAGACGGUUUUUAAUGUCACAUUAAAGCAAACAAGACAAUCGACACCGAGAUAUCAAUAGAUUGAUAUGAAGGAAAUUUGAUCAUAAUUUUUUGUAGGCAGAACUUGGAGUUGUAGGAGACACAUUUUAAACUUAUAAACAUGUUUAAAACAACAGAUUCCUGAUAGAAACAGACACAUUAUACUUAUUCUGAGAUGUUGGGUUAGUCACUAAACUUAAAAACAUUAGAAAAAGUUUUGCUUUUAAUCUAAUUGUUGAAACAUUUUGCCUAAUGAAACAGUUUUUAUUACCGAGCAGCAUCUAUUUGCCACCAUCUGGUGUAGGUUUGUCGUUCCAGGUUUGUGAGUCUGUUUUGCACAUCCCUCCUGAGGAUGGAUGUUUAAGAGAAAUGAAGCAGAGCUCUGAGCAGGCGGCUCUGUCCUAUUUCAACAGGAUGGAGCUGCUGAGGUAAUCACAGUCAGCCGAGCCAGGGGCGGAGUCACAUCAAUAAACUGGACGGCACAGUCACUCUUUGGGUGGUCACUCUCCUGAACACCCUUCAUACUAAUCUCUCUCUCUCUCUCUGUCUGUCUGCUUUUGAAUAUCACCAACAUUGAUUACCUGCAGACUUAAAAGAAGGAAUAGGAAAAUGUUACGUCUUUGUCACUCAUUUAAAGUCAAAUUAAGUCAUUUCCAGCCUAAAUGGUCUGUUUGUACCAGACUGUCAUUGUUUCAGUCAAAUGUGGCCUAACCCGGGGAUUCCACUGGAUUCAGAACAGCUCCACUCCGCUCCGGACCGUCAGGCGGAUCGAAUACGCAAGCACAUAGCAUCCACCGGAUCCAAUCUGCCGCCACCAUCGGAGGAGAAGCUCUAGCGAUAUUACCGAUAGUUCUCACGAGACUGAACGAGAUCUCACAAGAUCUUGUGUGUUUUAUUGACAUUGAAUGAGAUCCACCGAUUGGUGUAUAUGAACACCCACAUCCCACAACCCUGGCCUCUAUAAUAUCCUAUUAUCAAGUUAAGAACUGUUCAAUGUAUGGACUUUAUUUUAUUUUGAAUAUUAACAUAAAGUUUAACAUAAAGAAGAGAAGCUGAUGCAGAAGUGCCAAAAACUGCAGUUCCCUGACUGUCCACUAGAGGCUGGCUUAUAGAAACCAUCUCUCUUUUUCCUUCACAGAACACCAAAUUUAGAAAAAACACAAGAAUAUAUAUGUGUGUUUUUCUGUUAUGAAAAUCCCUGCAUGUGUGGGUUCAGGGUGAGUCUAUAAUGUGACUGUGUGUGGGUGUGCUCGGGAGUCUCACGCUGAGCUCUCUCCCUUUUGAUUGCCCUUAUUUCUCUUACCAUUUCUUUCCUUAUGUAAGAUAAAUAAUUCAGGCCUCCAGAGGCGGGAAGUGCAGAGAGAACAUUCAUGGAAAAAAAUGAAAGAGUCAUGAGAGCCCCGACUUUCUCCAUGUAUUGUCUUUCAGUGAAGCACAGAGUACAAAGGCAGUAUUUCCCCUGUAGUGGUGCAUAAACCCCACAACGCACACGAACACACACACACACAAACACACACACACAUCAGUCCUCAACAAGACAGAGUGGCUGUAUUUGCAUUUUGCCCAAAGUGCUUGGCACACAAACAGGAUCUCUUGUUAUCCUUUGUCUAAUAGAUUACAUCUUACUAAACUAUCAGUAAAAUUGUGUCACAACAAAAAUAGAAACAAAUAAAAACAGCACCCUGGAUGAGAAACAAACAGUUUUUACUAUCUGAAUACAUUAAACUCAAUCCACUAACUGCAGAUACAGGCCUGUCCAGCAGAAAUGAUGGUCUACAUCUCCGGUGUGGUUUAUUUCUUCCCUCCACAGAGAGCGUUGGAUUAUCUGUGUUUUUCCUGUUGAGCUACUUAACACCUCAGGCUUUCUGCUAAUACUGCACCUCCCGCUCUCUCCCCCCUCCAGGGUUUGCUGAGGUGGCCGUUCAAGUAGAAAUGUAGAGUUGCUAAAGGGAAAACACGAGCGCACUUAAAAUAUCAAGCCUUGUUUUAUUUCCCUGCAGCUUUACUCGUCAGUAGAAACGCUGUUUCCGGACUUCAUCUGGAGUUUGGUUUCUGCCUGCAUGUGAUGUCGCUCAUCUCACUGCUCGCUGGUUAAAGCCUUCUCACCUAGAAGUUGUCUCAAUCCUGGGUUAGCUCAUUAUUCUCAAAGCGGCUUGUUAAAUGAUUGGCAGGUAAGGCGAUAAGAGUCUUACUCUUGUCUGGUGACACUUUCCUCAACAUCAGACGGUGAAGGGAAACGCAGGAAAGGUUACAAACCCGUGGAUGAGAGCAACAGUUAGAACUGUAGAUUCAGAAAUGAGAGAGUGAGCAUUCAGAGGCCCUCUCAUUGUUAGCAUAGCUGCACUUUAACAUACAACUGUGCUCAUUAGGGCUGUAAUCAACCAAAGAAAUUCUUGGUCGAAUAAAACCCUGAAAUUUUCGACCAAAAAUCGACUAAUUACUCCCAAUUUCCACCGCAUCUGGAGCGGCUAUGAAAAGGUUGUAUCCACCGAUCGUAGCUGAUCAUAACCAUUCAAGUAAAUGUGUCAAUUUCCACCGGAUCGCCGGACUCCGCAGCUGAUCUCAAGAGUUCUAUUUUUUCCGGACGCCGGAGCAUGGCGGAUAAAUUCAGCACAGAUUAACCCGUGCUGGAAAGGAAGUCGGGCACAUAGACAAAAUAAAACAUCCGGCUUCUUUUCAAAAUAAAACACUCUGUGUUUCAGGAGGAUCGUAUUUCACACCAUGCAAACAGGCGGAGACGAACAAGUGAAAGGUUUUUACACGUCAUUUCACCCUGAUGACACCAUGGAUGAGGAGAUGCUGAUUCUAGAAGUCUAGAAGUAGAUUUCCUCCUCUUGAAGGACACAAUCUACUGCUUUUAUGGUUAACCUCUGUGGCUAAGAGACAACUCAUUAUCGCGCGAUUGCACGUGAAUCGGCGGGUUCUUGUGAGUUACCGCUGUCCAUAAUCCACCAUGAAAUUCGCCUCACAAACGGAUCUGGUAGGAAUUGGUGGACGGCGAAAAUCGAUGCUCUUCCAGAUUGGAGCCGUUCUGGAUACAAAUUGGUGAAAAUUGGGGGUUGGGGGGGUUUCCGACCAUGACGGCAAACCCUUCUGUGGUGGGGGACGAUGCGACUCGGCGGGUGAAAAUAUACUGAUAUCAGCACAAGAAGGCAAUUAAACACAAUGAAAGUUGAAACGCUCAAAAUAAGAAUAAAUAUUCAGCAAACCACCGGACGUUGAUUAACGUGGAAGCUCUUCAAUCUUCCUGUUAUCUCCAGUGGGUUGGGCGAAUCCAAAAUGGUGAAAACAAGGGCGGUGUUCUGAGACAAGCUGUUACCUGUGAAACAGGGGUGCUCUGAAAACACCCCCAUUAGCACUUGGUACGUUCCUCCUGAUGAAAUUAAACAAAGACUGUAAAUUGACGCAGAAGAAAAUCGAGUCGACCAAUCAGAAUUUUGGUCGACUCAGCACGUAUUGACAAAUAAGUCGACUUCCACUGAGCAAUAGACAGUUAUUCGCUGCUAGUUUUCUUUAGACCUAAAUUCAAUCGUCUAGAUUCUGUUUAUUUUUAGACGUCUAUUAGACCUCCUUUAGACCAAAAAACGCUCAGUGGGCGAGGACUUCACAGCUUCAUUUCUCAUUUGUUCUCUCACUAUUUGAUAGUGAUGAUUUUGAUGUUGACAGUGUCCCUGAAGGACUGCAGGCUGUUUCAGCUUGGAUUUGUCGUCUCUAUCUGCACUACAGACAAUACAAACAUCAUCCUAAAAACACGAGAGCGGAGGAUUUAUUGGACAAGGACACAGUCAAUGUUUGAGCAGACUCAGACAUUCAGCAUAACGGCUCUGCUAGAAGAGCACUACAGCAUGCACUAAAAGAUCUACUGUUUACAUCAAAAAAGAAAAAAGAAACUGUCCUUUCAAAAAAUAUCUUCAUACUAAAAUGGAAAGCCUCCGUAAAACAAAAGCGUGUUACAGAUUUAUCAUUACAAAGUCUCUGGGUUGAUUCAGGUCACUCUUAAAAAUGUUCAGGCUGCAGGUUUUGCAGAUUUUGCUGCUUAUCAAUAUCUGAGUUUGGACAGUUUAAGAGGUUUUUGUGAGCCACAUGAAAAGAGUAAUACCAACAGUAUCUUUAUCUCCACCCUCCCCCACCCAAUCAAUCCCUCCAUCUCCUUCCCUGUCCCCUCACUCUGCAUGCUUCAGCUGAGAAGUAAAACACAGAGAUGAAGAUGGAACGGACAGAAUGAGAAAGAACUGGAGGACUAAUGAGAACAAAUGAGAGAGGGAGGAGAGCACAAAACAGAGGAAAAAACUGAGUGAUGUGGAGGAUGUGCUGAGAAUAAGGAGAAUGUAUUGAUCCCUGCUUCAUGAUGGACUAAGAGGCUGCUUAUCACUCUGACAGCUAAAGACAAAUGGAGCAUCAGAUGGGCAGCUUUGUGGCUGUGCAGACCGGCGGGGAAAAAUGAAAUACAAGAUCAACAAAAACAAAACAAAAAAACAGCCGAAAGGUUAAACCUUUUCGAGAGGAGGGAGAUUCUAGCUUAGAGCCGUGCACCUCAUUAAAUACUCAGCGUAAGCCCUGUGGAUUUCAUCGAUUGCUGGUGUCCAACAAUGCUUGAGCUUUAUUGUGCAGCCUCCACUGAAAGAGGCGAAAUGAGCAUGAGCCCGGAGCAGGGAUGAUUGUUUUUGCAUCUUGAGUCUAUUUCUGACGAGAGAUCUUAAUGUGGGCUGGCCCAGGAAGCUAAAGUGGGUCAUAGGGUGAAGCAGACAUGAAAGGGCUGACACUAAGUGGAGUCAUCCUUGCUGGGGGGCAUAUCACUGCCUCCACUCUGGUACAUACACACAAAGCCACUGCAUAACACCAACAACCCUUCUUCUUCUCCACCUCCCUGUUAUUUUUGCCCUGGCUCCUCUGUCCGUUUUUAUUUGGUGUUCUCUUCAUGCAGAAACAUCAAAAUGGAUUUUCAUCUCACAUUUGCACCUUUCAGCACGCUGCGGGUUUUACAUUUGAAGCUGGUCCAGAAUCCGGAGAUCCACCUGCAUCCAAGUAAAGACACAUUUGUGCUGCAAAAGCCAACUCUAAACCCCCGCUACAUCCCUACUCUUAAACUAGGGGUGGGAGAAAAAGUCGGUUCACAUAAGUAUCGCAGUUUUUUGUUUUACGAUUUUUAAAUCGACAUUUUUUCUUCAAAUUUAAGAAUAAAUCAUAAAAACUGACUUACAUGUGAUGUGUAUUUUGGGGGGAAAUGUGGUUCCUAGAAUAGUCAGUAGUCAAUCAUAAUCAUUCAGCUGUUUCACCGGUGUUAAAAAUGCAGACUAAAAAUCAACAAUAUCGUAGAAUCACAAUUUAAAUCGAAUCGGCAUCUAAAAAAUUGCAAAAGAAUCGAAUUGGGAGAAAAGCAGAUCGUCCCAGUCCUAUCUUAAACCAAAUCCCAGUUUCAACCCCUGACUCUUUUAAGCCUCUUCAAUGUAAGAAAAGGCGAAGUGUCCUCCUCACCUCCUCUUUUCUAUCCUUAUGGGGGCUUCAGAGUAAAAACACAAGCUGAGGUAGAGGAACAGCAGGCUCUAGGACCCUGUGUUUCUGCCGUAAAUAGGCAGCAGCAGAGCCGAGGGAGGAAAAGAGAGAGAGAGCGAGAGAGAGAGGCAGAGAGAGAGAGGUGUAGGAGGAGAGAGUCGAGGCUGUAUUUGGAAAGUCAGAGAGAAGCAGAGAGAGGCAGGAGAAAGUUGACAUCGUGUGAGGUGGUCUGCAGCCGCAGCGAGGAUAAAAAGAAAAGACCUUCUUCCGUCUGAGAGGGUGAGAGAGCGAGCUGAGGAGGAUGAGAGAGAGCGAGGUGUGCAGGGGGAAGGGGAGCCUGCUGUGACAGACAGAGCGUGCACAGUACUGCUGCCUGCCUGCACAGGUGUAAGAGGUGCAUCUGUACGCGUUCACAGCCGAAUCAGCACAGCUCGACGGAGGGACAAUGACAUGUUUGAGUGACUUCCUCUGAAUCUCAGCGUUCACUUCACCUCCUCUGAACCCAAGCACGUGAAAGGACACACUUCACGGUGUGUACACCUUUAUCAGGACAAACGCAGCGGAUACUCACCAGCAAACAGCUUCAGUCAGAGGAUCAGUGAGGGACUGAAUCCAGUCCAGUGGAUGGUCGAGACCGGGACGCUGACUGUCCACGUUUCUUCUCGAGGACUCAUCCUGAGGACAGCAGAGAUUCAAACAGAAAGGUGAGCAGAUAUUUAAAGGAGCAGACAUGACCAGCCGAUGAAAAUCCAACCCCCACAUCUUCCCCUGAUUCCUGGGUUUGUCCCCUCAUUACCUCCUUUAACCCCACUGUGGAAAAGGUUUGGAUUAAAAACAGCCUGUUCAAUAAUAAUAAUGCAGCUCCAUCAUCUGUUAUUGUUUUAUCACUAAAAAAUAAUGAUUUAUGGAAAUUGUGUCACUAAUCUUACAAAACAGGUUAAAUAUUAUUUUUUGGCUUCUUAUAUACUAAAAAAAAAAAUGUUUUUUUUAACACUACUUGUGUCUGAAAUUCUUCAUUUUGGCUUUAAAAAAUAAAAUAUCUUUAAAAGACCGAAAAACAAAGAAUAAUAUUCUGAUGGUGAAAACACUUGACACCAAACACUGACCCUGCAGAGUAACGCUAAUCCUAAACCU